UAGGGAAUCUUCCGCAAUGGACGAAAGUCUGACGGAGCAACGCCGCGUGUAUGAUGAAGGUCUUCGGAUUGUAAAGUACUGUCAUUGGGGAAGAACGGUUUUCUUGAAAAGAUUGAGAAGACAUGACGGUACCCAAGGAGGAAGCCCCGGCUAACUACGUGCCAGCACCGCGGUAAUACGUAGGGGGCAAGCGUUGUCCGGAAAUUAUUGGGCGUAAAGGGCGCGUAGGCGGGCCUUUAAGUCCGGUGUGAAAGAUCAGGGCUCAACCCUGAGAGUGCAUCGGAAACUGGAGGCCUUGAGGACAGGAGAGGAAAGUGGAAUUCCACGUGUAGCGGUGAAAUGCGUAGAUAUGUGGAGGAACACCAGUGGCGAAGGCGACUUUCUGGACUGUAACUGACGCUGAGGCGCGAAAAGCGUGGGGAGCAAACAGGAUUAGAUACCCUGGUAGUCCACGCCGUAAAGAUGAGCUGCUAGGUGUAGAGGGUAUCGACCCCUUCUGUGCCGCAGUUAACACAAUAAGGCACUCCCGCCUGGGGAGUACGGCC
This 545-nucleotide ribosomal RNA is filed under the name uncultured bacterium. Its description in RNAcentral is "partial 16S ribosomal RNA". It matches the Rfam family "Bacterial small subunit ribosomal RNA", at positions 355 to 887 of the family's 1533-position model. The record is from RNAcentral.